Long non-coding RNA from Panicum virgatum (switchgrass), 1312 nucleotides. RefSeq lists it as uncharacterized. The transcript is spliced from 4 exons. The record is from RefSeq and is a predicted model, not a curated record. NCBI's taxonomy places the organism in Eukaryota, Viridiplantae, Streptophyta, Magnoliopsida, Poales, Poaceae.
UCCACGUCGCCCGUUAACCCGCUAACCGUUGGAUCGGGGUAGUAAGCGGCGCCAUCCGUCCGAUUGCGGGUUGGUUCGGGCAUCGACCCUGCUCAGCCAAACCGGGGCGCUCGCGAAUCCUCGCGAACCUGUGCUUCUCCUUCGCCUCUCCGCCACCCUCUUUCUCGCCUGCGCGCCGCCUGCAGCACGACCCGCCGCCCUCCGCCGACCGCCUGCGAGCAGCUGCGCUACCCGCCGCCCUCCGCCGACCGCUCGACCGCCUGCCGGCUUCCGCAUCGGUGGCCACGGACCUCGUCCGUUUGUCCCUCCGCUCCCCAAUCGAUUCUCCCGAGAUUCCGUCCCCUCCGCCCUGUCGGCCUCCCUCCUCCCCUCACCUGCCGUACUGCGCCGCCCGCAUCCAUAUUCUCCGGCCAGUGGACGGAGACAAGACAAAGCCCGUGUGAGGCUGUGCCGCCCACACCUCCCUCCACAUGGCAUCAUUGGCAUGCCGCUACUAUCCUCACCCGCUCUUCGACCGCUGCGAGCAAGGGCCCCUCUAAUUCCCGCAUCACCGAGGUCCACGUCGUCGGUUGUCGGUAAGGCACCUCUUAUUUCUUCCUCAACUGAUGCAGCACAGCUGCCCCUCCUUCCCUCUCUCGUACAAAGCAGAUCAGCAGGGGAGCUACAGCUCCGUUCCAAGCAAUCCCAUGGGUGGUCCUUGGUGUUCCUUCUCAACAAACGCAGCACACCUACUGCUCCUACCCUCUCAAGUACAGGCAGAUCGGAAGGGGGAGCUACAACUCCAUUGCAAGCAGUCCCAUGGGUGUUGCGGUCUCCUCUAAUGGCAAAGUCAUUCCACUUCUGAACAAAUUUCUUGGGACAAAGGAAAAGCGUUUGCUGCUGAUGGUGAGGGCAUAGAAAACCAUUAGGUUCUGUGAUCCCCUUGCAUGUGUGCUCCUCCACCUGAUGUCGUUGGGCCUGAGAACCAUGGGCAUGGGCGCCAGGGAACACAAGCUGUGACGAGCAAGUCAGUCCGCCGCACCAAGACCCAUUGCGUGAUUCUCUGAAAGAUUUUCAUGCUUCAGUAGUUCACACCUCCAGCAUAUUUAUUUAUUUAUUUUGUAAAAAGGGACCUUGAAGUUGAAGUGCUCAUAUAACGUUAAUAUGUCCUUGGACCUCCUAAGGCCUAAGCUAAUGUCUGAAUGUACCACCAGAAGUGCCCAUGCGAAUGAAAUAGACCACCACAACUGCCCAUUCGAAUGAAUUAGAGACCAUAACUGCUAGCAACCAUUGGAUUACUUCAAGUACAGAAAAUUCCUCGUACGAAAGUUAC